Molecule: ribosomal RNA, 174 nt
Filed under: Rheohyla miotympanum (small-eared treefrog)
Lineage: Eukaryota; Metazoa; Chordata; Amphibia; Anura; Hylidae
Description: partial 16S ribosomal RNA
Source: RNAcentral
ACGUGAUCUGAGUUCAGACCGGAGUAAUCCAGGUCGGUUUCUAUCUAUAAAGAGCUUUUUCUAGUACGAAAGGACCUAAAAAGCAUGGCCUAUGUUUAAUGCAAGCCAUACUCAUUAAUUUAUGAUUUCAACUCAAUAAAUAACUGACCUACAACCCCAUUCUAGACAAGAAUA